AUACCGUGAAACUGCGAAUGGCUCAUUAAAUCAGUUAUCGUUUAUUUGAUAGUACCUUACCACUUGGAUAACCGUGGUAAUUCUAGAGCUAAUACAUGCUAAAAACCCAGACUUCGGAAGGGGUGUGUUUAUUAGAUAAAAAACCAAUGCCCUUUCGGGGCUCUUUGGUGAUUCAUGAUAACCUAACGGAUCGCAUGGCCUUGCGCCGGCGACGGUUCAUUCAAAUUUCUGCCCUAUCAACUUUCGAUGGUAAGGUAUUGGCUUACCAUGGUUUCAACGGGUAACGGGGAAUUAGGGUUCGAUUCCGGAGAGGGAGCCUGAGAAACGGCUACCACAUCCAAGGAAGGCAGCAGGCGCGCAAAUUACCCAAUCCCGACACGGGGAGGUAGUGACAAUAAAUACUGAUACAGGGCUCUUUUGGGUCUUGUAAUUGGAAUGAGUACAAUUUAAACCCCUUAACGAGGAACAAUUGGAGGGCAAGUCUGGUGCCAGCAGCCGCGGUAAUUCCAGCUCCAAUAGCGUAUAUUAAAGUUGUUGCAGUUAAAAAGCUCGUAGUUGAAACUUGGGUCUGGCUAGCGGGUCCGCCUCACCGCGUGCACUUGUCCGGCUGGACCUUUCCUUCUGGAGAACCUCAUGCCCUUCACUGGGUGUGUUGGGGAACCAGGACUUUUACUUUGAAAAAAUUAGAGUGUUCAAAGCAGGCCUUUGCUCGAAUACGUUAGCAUGGAAUAAUAGAAUAGGACGUGCGGUCCUAUUUUGUUGGUUUCUAGGAUCGCCGUAAUGAUUAAUAGGGAUAGUCGGGGGCAUCAGUAUUCAAUUGUCAGAGGUGAAAUUCUUGGAUUUAUUGAAGACUAACUACUGCGAAAGCAUUUGCCAAGGAUGUUUUCAUUAAUCAGUGAACGAAAGUUAGGGGAUCGAAGACGAUCAGAUACCGUCGUAGUCUUAACUCGUAAACUAUGCCGACUAGGGAUCGGGCGAUGUUUCUAUCUUGACUCGCUCGGCACCUUACGAGAAAUCAAAGUUUUUGGGUUCUGGGG
RNAcentral lists this ribosomal RNA (1037 nucleotides) under Phragmocephala garethjonesii. Its description in RNAcentral is "SSU rRNA". It matches the Rfam family "Eukaryotic small subunit ribosomal RNA", at positions 76 to 1119 of the family's 1831-position model. The record is from RNAcentral. Lineage: Eukaryota; Fungi; Ascomycota; Dothideomycetes; Pleosporales; Melanommataceae.